Molecule: non-coding RNA, 703 nt
Organism: Arachis ipaensis
Lineage: Eukaryota; Viridiplantae; Streptophyta; Magnoliopsida; Fabales; Fabaceae
Source: RefSeq, a predicted model, not a curated record
GAAGUCACUAUAGUUUCUAAUUGGAGCACAUUCAUGCAUUCAAUAUAGGUGACUGUAAUGAAGCUCAAGGUUGACCUUGAAUGCCACAAAUACUACAAGAAAGUCAAGAAGCUUCUCGCUAAAUUCCCUCGUCAGUUCUCUUCUCUCUUUUCUUUCUUAACAAUUUCAAUCUCAUUUAUUUUUCUGCAUCAAAUUGAGUUUAUUUUAUUUCCUAUAAUUUUGUGAACAAGAGAAAUUCGAGACGAGAAAUUCGACGAGAAGCAAAAUAUCGUGACCAUCAUGGUGAUGUGCUGCAGCCAUCCUUUGUAAUUUGGACUUAUUGGCUACCCUGCAUUUUUAAUGUCAAUCAUGAGGGAACUUUUGUGCAACUGUAACAUGCCUGCUAGGUCACAGGUUUGAAUCCUAGAAAUAACCUUUUUGCUUGUGGAGGUAUGUCUUCAUAUAUCUACUAGCUGCAAACCCCAGCAGUUGGGAGCCUUAUGAAUUGGAUCCAACCUUUUUUCUUGAAGUCAUUGUCUGUGAGCCUAUGCUGAGAUUUCAUUUAUACAAUAUUUUAAACAUCAUCACAAGGAAAACACAAGUCCAGAAAAAUAGCAGUUGCACUUGGAGUUAGUCUUAGUUGUGCUUCUCUCAUGGUUUUGCUCUUUGGGAUCUUUUGGUAUAGACAUAAAUGACAGCACCAGGCCAUCCUAUUUAUUGGUGG